RNAcentral lists this long non-coding RNA (1317 nucleotides) under Cervus hanglu yarkandensis (Yarkand deer). RNAcentral's name for it is "lncRNA (ENSCHYG00000009351.1)". Lineage: Eukaryota; Metazoa; Chordata; Mammalia; Artiodactyla; Cervidae. The record is from RNAcentral.
AUUUAAUACACAACCUCAAAACACUUUUAUUACCGGUCGAUUUGCUUAUAGCCACAGCCAAAUGGCAGGAUGUACAAUCACAUGCAGAAGAAAAUAUUUAUUUUGACUCACAAGCCGAAGGGAUUAAGAGAACAUUGUAUUAACCUUGCCUUUCAUCUAUGUUUUAAAGGGAAACUCUCCAGAGGCGUCCAUUGAAGUUCUGUUUUUUUAAAUAUAAAGUGUAUCAAAGACUUUUAGGAGACCAGGUGUGUGUUUAUCUGACUAUCUUUCAAAAAUCUGCUUCAGAGACUGCAAAAAGAUGUAUGUUCAGGAAUCUAUUUCAGGCAUUCUUACCAGCCAGCUAGUUACCCUACCCCCACUCCCUUCCCUGGCUCCCCCCACCCCCACCCCCCGCUUGCCGCUUCGAAACAAAAUAGCUUCUUUCCAAGCAGGUUGUUAUCAUAUUCAUGGCAUGGUCAAUUUCCGUUUGCCAAGAAAAUAUUUAGGCUGAUCAAAGACAUUAGAAAAUCGGAUGAAUAGAAACAGACCUUCCCACAAGAGAAGCGUUUCUCAACGUGAAGAGGCAGGCGGGUUGCAGCCCACCCAGUUACUCCUAGGAAAUAGCUCUCUUGCUAAAGGCAGAACUAUGGGGCCACCUGGAUUCUACCGGAAGGGCUAUGGAAGAGUCCGGAAAUGCACGUGAGGGCUGGAGCUUGGGACUCUCUGAUGGCGGACAUGUAAGGAGAUGCUCGGUUCUAGUAUCUAUCAGCAAACCUAGAAGGCCUUUAAUUACAUCCAUUAACACAGAGGGACCUUUCAAGACUGAAGAUGAAGCAGCAAGUGGAUGGGAAAGAACCUUGACAACACAAAACUCAUUUACUAAUGGACUGGUUUUGGAUUUCUCUCCUUCGGGUCCGCACAUCGCCCUGCCUGAGCCCUCGGCCUAUCCAGAACUCGCGGGGAGCAGCGUCCCCCAGGAGGCAGGUGGGAGGCUGCUCCGGCGCCGGGCCGCCCUCGGAGCCCGGCAUCCGGAGGGGUCCAGGGCACCUGGAGUUUCCGACCAAGUAAAGGAAAAAGAUGAACGUUGUCACUUCAGCCAGGAUUUGGGAUCCUCACUGCCCCAGAGCGACGACGCUAAUUCAUUGAUGAAACACCUUCCAAAGCCUUUCAAAUAUCUGUAGGUAGAGUAGAAUCCUCGCUGACGUUCUUGAUGGCAAAAGAAUUCCAAGAAAGCGGGCCAGGAGCCUCCAAGCAGCUCGCUCCAAGCCAGAAGGGAAAUAAGUGGGUCUCAGCCAGAGGACACAAGGCCUUGUGUUAACUCGACCUAGAAACCCCAAC